AACUAGUUUCCUUUUGUCUCCGACUUCAUUGUCUACAGUAUUUCUUUUACUUCAACAAUUGCUCUGUGGUCCAACUGCACACACUGCCACAACUACCCAAAACCAAGAGAUAAGAUGCACUAUUUCCUCUGACGUUAUCACCCUAUAUAUACCAUUAUACCACGCACUACAUAACCCUCUUCUGCACUCUCCUUUAAGCAGGCCAGUAUUAUAUGAAAUCUGAAACCAGGCUGGUCAAAAACUGUGAUCACAGUAUCACCACUUAGUUUUAGCUACAAGGGUAGUGUUGUGUUGUGUUGGCCUUAAAGGACUCAGAGAGUGCCAGGUCCCUAGUUUAUCUCUAUCUAGACCAGGAUUUAAGCUGCUAGGUCAACUUGGUAGGCUGCAUUUUCUUUGGCCAGAAGUGGAUCUUGGAAUCUCAGCUCACGGACAGAAACAAAAACAAGGUAAGCCAUUGAAUAUUUUCUCACUAGUCUUAACCCGUAAUCAUAUCUCAGUUAAUGGGCCACUACAAGGGAAUAAUAAUAUGCUGAUUAGGAAGUUCAGACUCAGCUAGGCCUCAUGUUCUAAGAGUUAUAAAUUCUUACUUACGACUAUGAUUCAUCAGUAUUUUGAAAGUCUAUAGAUGACACGGAUGGUAAGGUAAUUUGAACGAAGUCUAUAAACUGAACGCUGAAAUUUUGUAAAUUGUGACUUGCUAACUGUACCGAUCAUGAUCCUUUGAGAAAAAUCUUAAGAGAAACGAUUGCAUGCAAUUUUCAACUUCAACAUUCAUGGGCAAAGAGAUUUAGGCCAAAAUUCAGUGAAGCAUGUUUUAACACUUGCACCAACUGAAGCACUUUUACCCACCCUUUGUCUUGAAACCUCAAAAGCACAAGAAACAAGGCAUUUAGCUUUGAGGGACGCUGUGGAAAGNAAGGAAUAUACCCUUAACGUACUCACACUGCUACAUAUUCUUAGAAACAAGCUAUGACAACAUGGAAAAGAAAAUUACUUGAGCUAAUUAACACUCCAACCGCAAUACGGAAUCACUUGCUGGUUUACAUAACAGAACAUGCAUUUGGGUUCUCGUCGCUGAAAAUCUCAGGGUCAUAAGCGUAGUCGAUGUAGUUUUUGGCUGGCCAGUAUUCACUUCGCUUGAUUUCAGUUUUGUUAUCUUCUUCUUCUUCUUCUUCUUGUUCCUUGUUUUCUUCUUCAACUUUUUUCUCUUCCUUUUUCUCCUCUUCUUUCUUUUCUUCUACCUUCUUUUCUUCCUCCUUCACAAUAGAGGCUUGCUUUUUGGUCCUCUUAUAUACAUUGUCAACAAGCUUCGCAGGGUCGAUCACACCUUUUACUAUGACUUGAUCAUUUGCCAAAUCUGUUUCCACUGAUUCUACUCCUGCACAUGCACGCCAUUACUAUGUCUCAAAUCACGUACCAAUCAUUCACUCCUCUAUUCAUGGAAUCAUUGAAGGAUGAAGCACAAAAAGAUAACCGUUUAUUUCUGUAAAAUUUAUUUGGUACAUCUAUUUUGUUUUCCCAAGAUGAAUAAUAAUAAAACAAAAAAAGCUUUAGAUUAAUCACUCUUAAGCACUUAUAUGAGCUGCAAUGGCAUUUUAAGAGACAAUACGCAAUUUGGUACCAAGUUUCAGCAUUGAGAUAGAUAGCUCCCUCCACUCUAAAAAUAACUGUUAUAUGUUGAGAGUGUUACAUUACUGUUAAUUCGGAGCUUUCAAAAGGAUUCUUAAGCCCAUACUUGGAAAAGAAAAAGCAGACCUGUAAUUAAAACUAUUACGUAUGCGUGCACAUUCCUAAGGGGGUUGUAAUGGCUUCAUUGCAGUUUGGAAAGGCAUUAUUAAAAAUUAUAAAUAUAAACUAAACACGAACUUUGUAACCAUAAAUAAAGUCCACAACAACACAUUCUCCUUUCUCAGUACCAUCUUUAUUUUUUGAUAAAAGAAUUGCAGCUUUACUCAACAACGUGGGCUCACUCUGUACUAAAGGCGAUUUCAUGAGAUUCUACCGAUUAAAAAUGUGUUAAAGAAGAAAGUAUAAAAAAGAAUGUUAUAAGCAGUCUUCUUGUGAUUAUAAGAUUCCAUGGUAAACAAACUUGAGCGAAGAGAAAGGCGUAAAUCAAAUUAAAGGGGCAAUUAAACUCUUUCUUUUCAAUUAUACAAUGCAGUUUUGUUGGGAUUCUCGUAAAUCAUUAGUAAUUAGUAAUCAUGGUAACAAAUAAUGAUUGAAAGGCACAGUUCCAUGUAGGACCUGGGAUUUAGUUCAGCUUAAUUGAUCCAAAACGUGUUUGUUGUACUUGUUAGUGCACGAGUGAAAUAGUAUGAAGCAGAAAUAAAGAAAAAGAGAAAGAGAGAAAGAUAGAUAUGAAUCUUUGCACCUUUAAUCUUACGGAUUCGCUUCUGUAUAGCUUGAGCACACGCUUCACAAUGCAUUCGAAUUUUUAGCACAACUGUUACCGCAGAAGGAGGCUGACCGGCCAUUCAAACAACCACAGCACAGGAAUUAUAUUAUCAACAAAAUAACUUUGGUCAAUCAGAACAUCUAAAGCAGCGUCAAUUUGAACCAGAUAAAGCAUCAGUAAAACUUAAAAUUGGAUGCAAAUAAAAAUUAAUAGUUCUUCUACUGAGUUCUUUACUUUUUCAUGAAUUUGUCGCAAUACGAAAGAGGCACCUGUAUGGUCCCACUAUCUUACAAUGUCUCAAUUCAGGUACGGGUCAUGGCAUGGGGUUUCCAACUUCAUCUCAAGUUUUAUUAGAAAAAACAAACCAAAAAAGCAAACUUUAGCAUAAAACUGGUGUACUCAAGUUAGAAGUAUUAACCCAAUAUACUAGACUGCAUAUUAUUAAGAAUUUGUGAAUAGGAGUAUUUCCUUUUUGCCACCCUAUUAUCUGACUAGCUGACUAGUAUUUGAAUGUCGUCAUCAUCAUCCAUGGUAUUUGGGAGGCUGUGGUUUUAGCUUUUAACCUCCAUACAGCGGACGUCACCAUGGUUGUGUGGUGUGUGCGUUGUGUGGAAGUGAAUGUCCUGAAAGUGGGACACGGUAAAAUCAGGUGAGUGUACCCACCCGUGACCCCAUUUUGCAGCAAAGCAGCAUGUCAUGUUGCAACUUGCAAAAAGUGAGUGGGGUCAAACCCUCUCAUUUGUCACCGCCGUUCACCUCGUUACGUGUGCCUAUCCAAGGGGCAUCACUUUGUUUCGUUACUUUCAUGUCAGCACUCACCUGGAAUGGAUCGCAAAACAAUACACCAAAAAUACUAAAAACUACCCUCUCUCUCACAACAACACUGCAAGCCAACCACUUUCCUGUUAAUCUCUUUUCUAAGCAAAAAAACUUAACAAGACUUUGGUUUUUGUUUUUGCAGGUCCUAAGACUUAGUUCUUGUUUUAAAGUUUUUUACCGAAUGAUUGACUCUGCUGCGGUAUCUUACUGAAUAUUUCAUCACAUUUGCAUCAUAGCUAGAAAAGAAGUUUCAAAGUUGAAUGAUUUUAGAUUUACCUCGUCUUUUUUCUCUUCUUUAGGUGCUUCUUUGAUUUCUUCUUUUUUCUCCUCUGGAGCUUUUGGCAACGGUGAAAUAAGCUCCACUUUCUUACCACUUUUCUUUUGUAGCCUCUCAAGCACCUUUAUGGGGUCUGCUGCCAUUCCUUUCACUACCACUUUGCUUGUCCUGCUAUCCGCAGUCACAUCUUCCACUCCUGUUUCACACUCCCAAAAAACAGAUUAUUAGAUUAGAAACGUUAACCCCGUUUCAUCAAUCUUUUCCACCACCUAAAACAACUUUACCUUUGUUAACUACGAAUGCAAUUAUGAUCUUUUGUCUCUACAUGAAUAAUGCACGUCUAAGACAAAAUUAUCUCAUCAUUAUUUUCUGAAAUUCAAAAGCAAUCAUGUGGAUACCGAAUUGAUGCCUCUAACAAGGGGGAAAAAGAUAGGGAAACUAAGAACACUAACUUAAGCUAAACUCAUAAGCUAACUAUAUACCUAUAGCAGCGUUCCCUAUGGGUGUAUAUUCACAAACAUAAUACAUACAUCAAAGGUGUAGGGAAAUGAAAUGACCUUGGAAUCCUUUCAAUGCUUUUGCAACUUUCCUUGCACAGGCCUCACAGUGCAUGUCGACUUUGAGAACUAUCUCCGGUGGUGGCUCCUCCUUGCUUUCAUCCUUCUUCUCUUCUACCUUCUUUUCCUCUUUUACUUCUUCUUUAUUUCCUUCUUCCUUCUUUUCCUUUGCAAACACAGCAUUUAAAUAAGACAACAAAGAAAACAAAAAGAAACAAUUGAGAAAAGAUGAUAAAAGCUAUGAAUAACUGAAAGGAACGAGAGCAAAGAGAGAGAUUGAUUUAAAACAUGCGUAUGUUUAUGUGUAUUUGUGUGAGAGUUUGAGUGUAGAAGAGAAAGAAAACUCUUACUUCACCCAUGUCUGUGACAGUAGACAAUGCCUUCUGCUUGAGAGAGAGUUUACUUGUUAACGCAGAUCUUAAUGUUAUGUGGUUUCAAUGUAGAAAAGAACUCUUGUUUUGUUUAUGCACUCUCACACACACACUUUCUCUCUCCCUGCCUCUCUGUCCAUGGCAGCAAUGUUGGACUCAGGAAAACAUUUAACGUGUAGGGAUUCUGCAAAUCUGACGUGGAUGCUUUACUGCAUACUUAAAAAAAAAAACAUUUUUAUUACUGUCUGCUAUUUUUGGUUAGAUUAGGGUGAAUUACUAUGUAGGUAGUGUGCAUGGCUGAAUCGACAUUCUAGGCCAGUUGAUAUAAUAAUGUUUUGAUGACAGUAAAAUAUUUUUACUGGUUACUUGUCGGUAAAAUACUUAUCACAAUAUAUAUAGUCUAUAAAAACAGAAAAUUUUCUUGAUUCUUCCAUUUUCCAAGUUAUUGCAGACCAAUGGUUGUGGCUAUUACCUAGACCAUCAUCACCAUUGACUGGUCGUACCUCCAUCUAAUCUUCCUCCCUAUUUCAUGCCAUCUCAACGAUCUAUGUUUGAGAAAUUAACCAAACAACUAGUGUAUUUCUGUACCACUGAGACAUUUUAAAUUUAGUUUUUGGUUAAUUCAUGUGAAAAAGGAAAGUAUUGUAGGAAAUGACAGUUUGGCCGUUGGUUUGAAUGAACAAAGGACAGUCUUGUCUUUAACCUGAGACCAGCAAUGGUAUUAAAACCAAUAUAUGAUGAGUUUUAUAAUCUAUUAAAUCUAUAGUCAUGUCUUACAAAACUAAUCAAUCAGUAGACAUUAUUUUAACGAAUAACUGUCUCAUGUUUUCAUACACUGUAAAAACCAACAUAUUUGACAAACUUUGUCCAUUUAGGCCUUAUUUACUUUAAUGUUUUUAGAGAAGAAUAACUAAGAGGAUUUGAACAUUUUUUUUUUAUUUGAAUAGGUUUAGGUUUCUUCACUUGAGUGGAUUUGAAGGAGAGUAUUGAAAGGAUUUGAUGAUAAAUAUUUUUAUUGUUUAUUUGAAUAAAUUUGGAGGUAAGUGAGAGUGAAUUUGGAAAUAAAAUUUGUGAGAAUUAGAGUAGAAUUUAAUUUAUAUGACAGAUUAAAAAAAUUUACUUCCAAAUUCACUCUCACUUACCUCUAAAUUUAUUCAAUUAAACAAUAAAAAUAUAUAUCAUCAAAUCCUCUUAAUUACUCUCCCUCAGAUUCACUUAGUGAAAGGACCUUAGAAAUAAGUGAAAGAAGAUUUGGAAGUAAAAUUUUCUCCCUUAGAUUCACUCAAGUGAACAAGGCCUUAAAGAUAAGUGAAACAAGAUUUAGAAGUAAAAUUUGUGAGAAUUAGUGUAGGAUUUAAUUUAUAUGACAAAUUAAAAAAAAUUAUUUUCAAAUUCACCCUCACUUACCUCCAAAUCUAUUCAAAUAAACAAAAAAAAAAUUAUCAUCAAAUCCUCUCAAUUACUCUCAUUCAAACCCACUAAAAUGAACACAUUAAGAUGGUAUUAAUGAUUGUAUGUGUAUAUAGUUUCUGUAUUUAAGUUUAGGUAAUAUUUAUUUUCUGACUUUAUAAUACCAUUUUUUUAUUCUAAACUCGGUUUUGAAAUAAGAUUAACAAUAAACUCAGUUUAAAAUCAUACUCGGUUAAAAAGCAAGUCGAUUUCUUUUCUUUUUUUUCAAAUUAACUUUCUGAACGUACUUUUGAGUCUCCAAACUGAAAAUUAAACAUAUGCUAAUUCUAACUUUGCUCGACUAAAAUUGUUGCUACCAAACAAUAAAUAUAAAAAUUAUAUCUAACCAAAUAGGUUACUUUUAGUGUCUAACAUUGACCAUCCAUAAUAGUAUAUAACUUUUUACCUAAACUUCUUAAUUGUUUACAGCCUAGAAUAUAGGAAAAGAACAAAAACUGUAAAAUAUAAGUAAAUAAUGUACUUAAUAACAUAAAGUGUUAUAAGAGUUUCAACUUAUCCUCUUAACUUUUGAGUCAUAUUUGAGUAUCAUUCAAUGAAUUGUUAUCUUUAAUUAUCUUGCAUAAUGAUUUAUGUUUUAGGAUUUGUUUUCAAAUUUUGAUGUUAUAAUGAAAUAUUGUUUAAAUGAUAUAUGUAGAUAAUAUCGAAGAAAACUCUAGAUAACAAUUAAAAGUAAUUGUUAUAUAUAUAUAUAUAUAUAUAUAUAUAUAUAUAUGUAUAUAUUAUUAUGAAUGAAGUUAUUUUAUAAAUGGGAAUUGCGAAGUGACAGACAAUUUUUAACGCAUGAUAUUUUUUACUAGAUCUUCUGAUUUAGAAAUGAGAAGUACAUGUAAUAUUUCAUUUAAUAAAUGAAAUUAGUGUAAAAUAUUUAUUAAUGUACUCUGCACUUCCUGCCAAAAUGUUCAACCAAAUCUAAUAUCACUGUCACCCACUCAACUUUUAUACUGUCAUCUUCUCUUUGGUGGAAGCAUCUUAUGCGUUGCUAUUUUUAAACUAAAAAUCAGAACAAAAUUAUAUUUUUUUAAAACUAAACUAAUUGGUAGUAUUUUUUUUCUUUCAAAAAAUGAUCUUACAACUAAAAUUCAUUUGAAUGUGGCCUUAUUUUUUUUUUUCUAUGUGAAGAUUAAAUUAUUUAUUGUUUAAAAAUGACAUUUUACUAAGUAUAUUCUUUUUUAGAAAACAUAUAUUUGUUAUCUUUUAUCAUGGAUAUUUAAAUUCCAUCACAAUGAAUAAUGCACACAAAAUUUUAUAUCUUUUUGAAUAUUUAAUUUAUAUUUUACAUUUUUCUAAAUUUUAAAAUACAUGUGUAAUUCAUAAAUAUUUGAUAAUUAUUGUAAAAUUCGUCUUUCUUUUUAUGGGCCAGAAAAAAACAUCUUAGGUGUUACUGCACCUCUCCAAAUGCUUCAUGCACCUCCCCAAACAAUUUUUAAUUACAAAAUCACCCUUUUUACACAUGUUCCCUACACCUCCCCAACUAUUUUUUAAUUCUAAAAAUAUUAUUUUUACUUUUAUCAUUUAUCUUUUUUAAAUUUUUCUUAAAAUCCUAAUAUCUCUUAAUACCUCUGAAAAGUAAAAUUGUUGCCAGUUUUUAUGCAAGAAAGCAAAUGCUCCACAAGAUUCUGACGUUGUGGACUUGGGUAUAAGCUAUGAUGCAAGAAUUUUCCAAAAUGUUUAAUCCAAUAAUUAUAGGCUUAGAAAAGUAUUGCUCCCACUAUAGUUUGUAUUACAAUUAGCGUUUUACGUCUUAUUAGUCGCAGAUUUGCAAAGCUUUUAUGAAAAGAAUAUUGUGGCUCAAUAAAAGAAGAGAGGUGGAAUAAAAAAUGGAGCUAAUAAAAGUAGUAAGCAUGUUGCCUGAUUUUGGUUUUAAACCUUCCUUAUCCUUUUAAUAUUUUGCAGGAAUGCCAAGGGAAAAAUAGCUGCUCCAUCAAAAUCUUAAAUACUGUAUACGGAAGUGAUCCAUGUCCGGGUGUUGAGAAAACGUCAUUUGUAGAAGCAAGAUGGACAUCGUUAUUAGCCUCUCAAUGGAUAUUGACAUCCGUUUACUCUUUAACGGAUGUGAAUAUCUGUUGGCAGAUUUCGAAAUCCGUUUAAGUGUUAUUUUUAGUGACAAAAAGGGAAUGGGAAGGUGCAGGAGCUAUGUGGGAGGUGUAGAGAGUAACACCCAAACAAUCUUGUGUCUAGAUGAAACAAAUUACAGAACUGACGGCCCGGAUUUCUAGGGUUGGGCCAUUAAAAUUGAUUGGGGAAAUGUAAUGUUUUAUCGGCUAUUACUUGUAGCACUUCCCCAAUUUAUCUGCGCACUUCAUUUCCAUAAUUUAUAAAAGUAAUUUGGAUUUUUUUUUAAACUGUUUGUUUUAUCAUUUCCAUAAUUUAUAAAAAUAUGCAAAUUAAAGUCUGU
This 8284-nucleotide long non-coding RNA is filed under the name Vigna radiata. RNAcentral describes it as "long non-coding RNA (VRAD_LNC007553)". Lineage: Eukaryota; Viridiplantae; Streptophyta; Magnoliopsida; Fabales; Fabaceae. The record is from RNAcentral.